CUCUGGGCCGGCUCAUGGUGAUCCUGCUCGAGACAGAGACCACCCGUGGCUUCUUCCAGAACAUAGUCCAUGUUCUGCAGAGAUCAGUGACCUCAAACAAUGUGUGGGAGCGCAAGAGGGCCCUGCAGACCUGCUCCCAGCUGCUGGCUGCUUGUGAAGAGCUUCCGAGAGGAGAUGCCUGCGAGAACUUUGGCUCCUUGGUGGGAUUGCUGGCUCCGCUGACGUGUGACCCCAAGCCCACAUCCCGCCAGUUGGCCGCCACCUGCCUGAUCUCCCUUCUCCGAAUCCAAGCCAAGGCAGCCAACAGAGUCAUCGAGACGGGAGACAUCGGGAGCCUGUGUGAGGGGCUGAGUGACUGCAGCACCGUCUCUCAGCUCCAGACCUCAUCCAAACUGGCAAG
This 400-nucleotide long non-coding RNA is filed under the name Chrysolophus pictus (golden pheasant). RNAcentral's name for it is "lncRNA (ENSCPIG00010006658.1)". Lineage: Eukaryota; Metazoa; Chordata; Aves; Galliformes; Phasianidae. The record is from RNAcentral.